RNAcentral lists this ribosomal RNA (253 nucleotides) under uncultured bacterium. Its description in RNAcentral is "partial 16S ribosomal RNA". It matches the Rfam family "Bacterial small subunit ribosomal RNA", at positions 524 to 776 of the family's 1533-position model. The record is from RNAcentral.
UACAGAGGGUGCGAGCGUUAAUCGGAAUUACUGGGCGUAAAGGGUGCGUAGGUGGUUAUGUAAGUUAGAUGUGAAAUUCCUGGGCUUAACCUGGGGACUGCGUCUGAUACUGCAAAGCUAGAGUACUGUAGAGGAAAGUGGAAUUUCCGGUGUAGCAGUGAAAUGCGUAGAUAUCUGGAGGAACACCGGUGGCGAGGGCGGCAUCCUGGACCGGCAUUGACGCUGAGGCGCGAAAGCCAGGGGAGCAAACGGG